GGGAGUCGGGCCCCAUCGGAGUCGGGUUCCUGGGCCCCGGGGGAAUCCUGUUCGUCUCUGAUGCAGCCCUUCUCAUCCGAUGAAGCCUGUCUGUCCAUCUGUACUGGAACAUCUUCCGAACCACUCGCCUGUCUCUGCAGUGCUGCCAGCAGCUUCUCCGGUGGACAUGCCACUGUGUCCUGCACAUUUUGGGCCGCUUAACAAGUCAUCAAAACAACUGCCAUGUGAUUCGGCCCUUGUCGGUUCACUUGGGGUUUGACUUUGUUUGGUGUCAGGCCUCUUGUUCCAAAGCGCCCGUGUGCUUUCUUGGCAGCUGGGGCUGGGAGCUGUGGUGUGUUCUAUGCCACUUGCUGUAUUCCUUUUCUCUGGCAAUGACGUGCCCACAGGGAUGUCCCCCGGGUUGACCUGCUUGUCUUUCCCACCUGGAACCCUGAGCACAGGUUUUUUUUUUACCCACAUCUAAUUGUCCCCCUGGAUAACCCAAUGGCCUGUGCAUUUGAGGCGGUUGGGGACUCGUUUCCCAAAUGGUGUAGGGAGGCAAGAAAUUGAAUACAUGGUUAACUGCCCGGAGACUUGCUUAUGGAAGCAGUACAUCCAAGCAGUGGCGAGGCCGCUUCUGGCCUCUGCAUCGUUCAGCCUGCAAAGCACCCCCAGCCCACCGAGCCUUUGCAGCACUGCUUUGCCACGUUGCCAACACCUGGUAUGUGCCAGAGCUCGCAUGUGCCCUUGAUGCUCGGAAGGUUAAGGGACCCGAGCAGGGGGUGUGUGGGUGUGUGUUUCCCAUCUCUCUGCACAGUCUUAGGUUCUGCCUGUUCAUACUAACAUCUGGACCACCAGUUCCGCAGAUAGCGGUCAAGGCCAACUUUAAGGACCUAAAGACCACUCAGCAGGGGUUUUAGAAAGUGAAGGGGCCGAGUCACAGGCGACUCUUCCCAAGGAGUUUCUUUAAAGCCAACUGGCUAAAUUAGGCAAAGCUUCUGUGUGUCUGCCUCUCUUCUUGCUAGUCUGGCCUUUGCAAAGAGAAAUAAAUAUAUCUUUGUAUAGAGAAAUAACUACACCACGAAUCAUUCAGUGUUUCCUGUGAAUUGUUUGUAAUAUUCAAAGUGAUAGGGAGUAAUGUCCAUUUUAAAAUAUAUCGCUCACCCUUGUGAAGAAAUGUACCAUUUCUGGGGCUUUUUCGGUAACGACCUGGCGGAAUAAUUGCUUCAGUAAAUGGGAAUAAGGUGCUCCUGUCAGGUGGUUAUAUAUGCUUUGGAGGGAAAUUUUAAGACUAGGAGGUUGCAGCCAUUCCGAGCUUUGUUGAGUAUUUAACUUUUUAUUAUUAUAUUUUUUUGUGGAUCCAUCAACCAAGAAGACGGUCAAUUUUAGCGCACACAGCUGUUUAGGAAUAAUAGUUUGAAAGACCAGCCCCAAAGAUCUUGGUGAUUAAAGUGUGAACAGAUGACAGAACGAUAAAACUUAACGUCUAAAAACGUGUUGUUAUUCUUCCCUCCGCCUAUAGUAACAUGGUCUGAUAAAUGCAUCAGGGCUGAACAGGCCGAAGGGAAGAACUUUCCGUGAGGGGAUCCAGAACGCUGUGAAUAGAAACGUUGGCCCCGGUUCCCCUGCGAGUGAUUGACUGUGUGUAGUGAUCAGCGUUAAAGAGGGGGCACCCAGGAGCCCCCUCAGCGCCAUCCUGUGCACACACUCCCAGUUAGAAAUGCACGCGUCGCAUGGGUAUCGAUCACAGUUAUUCCCCAAACACCCCUCACAAAGUCCCUCCGUGUGCAGGUGCGAUUGAAAUGAAUCCAAAUUCACACCAAGGUCCUUAGAAAGAGCACCUCUUUCAGCAGCUGCCCGACCCCCUCCCCUGGACAUUAAAUCACUGGUAGCCUGUGCUGGGUCCGCUGAGAGGCCUGAGCCCCCGGGUUCCUGCCUCUUAGAUGAUGGAUGCUCUGUGGCGAUGUCUUACGUGAGGAGGUGCCCUGAGUGGGAAGCGAGCGCGCAUUUGACUGGAAGAUAGUACAUUGGAUUUAAGGCACUACAGAGACAGAACCUCACCUGCAGCACGUGCGUGAAGCAUGUUUUCAUUUGUAUUUAAACGAACCCCCAUCAAAGACACUUUUCUGAGACCGUCAGGGAAGUCGGGAUAUGGAGGAGGUAAUAGACGGUAUUAGGAAAGUGGUGUUCAUUUGUGCAGGUCACCCUUUUAAACAGAAUUUGUCUUGUCUUACAGCUGUACACUGGCAUGUUUGCACUUGAGGUGGGGUGGUGCCUGGGGUUUGCUUUAAACGAGUCUGGGAAACAUGGCGGGAGGGUAGCGUAAACACAUCCCGGUUGGGAAAUGUUGAUAAUUCUGGGUCAGCUCUGGGUGUGUUUAACUGGCUUCUCUGUUUUGGGGGUAUGCUGGAAAAUUUCCAUAAUGCAGUAUUAUCUGGAUGUCUCAAGAGACAGACUGCCAGGAAAUGGUGGUUAGAAGUCGCCAGUAUCAGGUUCCAGAGCUUCUAGACAGGACGUAGUGUGCACCAGAAUAGACAGAGAAAUUUCUGGGAACCAGACAAGCAAGUUCUGUCCUUUUGAGGUUAUUAUUAUUUGGUGCCUAUUAUAGGUUGAAUUGUGUCCUCCCGAAUUCAUCUGUCAAAGCCCUCUGCCCCAGGGUCUCAAAUCAUGACUGCGUUUGAAGACAGGGCCUUUAAAGUGGUGAUUAGGUUAAAAUGAGGCUGUGGGGUGAACCCUAACCCAAUCUGACUGGCCUCCUUACGAGAGGAGAUGAGGAUGCAGUGAGAAGGCGGUGAGGACUCGAGAGAAGGCGGCCGUCUGCAAGGCCAGGACGGAGGCCUCAGAAGAAACCACCUACACCGAAACCUGGACCUAAGGGUUCUAGCCUCCGGCCCUGUGAGAAGAUGAAUUUGAGUUGUUCACCCAGUGGGAGUAUUUUGUUACGCAGCCCUAGCUGACCAAUACUUGGAUUCUGAUUUGCAUGUGAGGCGGCAUAAAGGCCUGGGCUGUGGGACCCUGGCUGUGGGCCUGGCUCUCCCUCCACCUGGGAAGGAGGGCUCUGUGUGGGCACCUGUGCACACGCCCACUUCGGUGGGACUGUGUUUGUUGGGACGGGGAGGAAGUGGGAAACAGAAGACACCAUGUCGAUUUCAGGGGACUGCAUGAACCCAGAGCUCUCCCUUGGGGUCCCCCUUCUAAAACAGGGCGUCUCACAUGGUUGUGCACAAUGAAUGAUAGGUUUUCCCUCCUUCGCUUGACCUCCGUGUCCCCUGGGUAGGGCACUGUUCUAGCCUCCUUGUCACAUGAAGGACGAUAAGGAGCCAGCCACUCAGAGAGCCCGUGGCGGAGUGUACCAAGCAGCGGAAGCAGUUGUCAGGGCCUCCGGAGCUUGUUUUAGGCGCUAAAGAUGGCAGUGGAAUUAGAGCAGAAAAUGUGAAGAGGAAGGUUCAAGGUGAAGCUUGAGAGGGCGGCAGGGGUCCUGUCACACACAGCCUUGCAAGCCGUGGUGAGGGCUUGAGAUUUUAUUCUAGUUGUGGCUUGUUUUAAGCCACAGAGACAUUGCUAUGAUAUGAAACGUGAUAUAUGGUACAACGUGUGUUUGAUGUCAUAUACGAUAGGGCAUCAUAUAUGGUGUAUGUUUGAUACAUAAGCUAUGCCCUCUGAGAUGGCCUGGUACAAUAUAACGUGACUCAUGCCAGUGCCAUGGCCGCAGGGUAGAGCCUGGAUGGUCAUGGAUGAGGAUUGGAGACACGGAGGCCAAUUAGAAGGUUUAUCAAUAAGGAAUGAGUUCAGCUGCAAGUUAAAGGGAUGACAUCAGCCUCCAGGAGAGAGGACUGGACCAGCUACCUCUGACCCUUUUAUCAGGAAAAUCUGACUUCUCAUAUGUGUGGUGGGCACAGAUUGUGUCACAUGGCCACCUGAGCUGCAGGGAAUGAUGGGAAGGCAUGUGGGAGCCUGCAGGAGAGAAGGCUGCUGGAGGACCAGUUGCCCUUCCUUACUGUGUGGCUUGGUCCCUAUGGCCUGCUGCUCUGGGCAGACUUGUGACCCCCACAAAAGAUGCUCGGGGUAUGCUGAAGUCCUAACCUCUGGUAGCCCAGAAUGUGACCUUAUUAGGAUGCAGGCUUUGUACAGAGAUGCUCAAGUUCAAAUGCAGUUAUCACGGUGGGCGCUGAUCCUCUACGACCAACCACUGUCUUUAUGUAAAGGGGAAAUUUGCAUAUGGAGGCAGACACACACACACACACACACACACACACACACACACAGAGGAAAGACCGGACUGUGCGAAGAGAUUCAGAACGAACAUCACGCGAAGACUGAGGCAGAGGAGGCAGGGAUCAUGUGGCCAAAGCUGAGGAACAUCUGGGGCCGCCCAAAGCCAGAGGAGGUCGAAGGCCCUGCCCUGGAAGCCUUUGGAGGGAGGGCGGCUCUGCCGACCCCUGGGCUUCGCGCGCCUGCCUCCUCUCUGCAGAACGGGUACUUGCUGACCUUCUGAGCCCAUUGGUGGUGCUUCUGUUCCAGCCGCUGUAGGAGCUAACACACUGCAAACUCCUGUUGGCCCUUUAGGACUGGAGUUGUUGAUAGACAGACGGCACCUCCCAAGUCUGGCAUCCCCCGUGCACCACCCUUUCUAGGUGAGGUCUCCCAUCAGGUCCCUCUGCUCCUCUUCUUGUGGCAGCAUGGUCGAGCCCUGAGACCCCCUUUCAGGAGGUUCCCUUAGAGCCAUGGACCCCAAGGAAGGGAGCCAUUUAUCAAACUGCAGGAUAACCACAGCAGUCCAGGGUCUUUUUGUCCGUAGGCUCAGUUUACCGAUUACCUGUCCCUCUUCUUGUGUGCAGCUGUUUCUCUAGCCAGUGUCCUCUGCCUGAUCCCACUGGCUUCAUGAGGAGCCUCUUAGGUUCAUUUCAUGGGUAUAUCAAAGGGUAUAUCCUGCCCCUUGACCACGAUCAGGGUACAGGGCCUGCCUUGGGGUUCUCAGCUGUAAAAUGGGGCUGUGACGACACCUCUCCUGGUUGUUGCAAGGACGAUAGGAAGUCACCUACAGAAGGGUAAGCAUUUUUUUUCCCAUAUUAUGUUCACAGCCAUCAUUACUCGAGCUGCCCAGGCAUUGGCUCCUAGCUCCUUGAGAGCAGAGGUCUUCUGUAUAAAUUUAGUCUCUCCCCCAAGUCCUUGUGCUUGGUCCAGACGGUGAUAAUAGUUCAUGUGAUUUUUAAUUUAAGUCAAUUCAGUAGACAUUGCUGAAUUGAGAAA
This 5229-nucleotide long non-coding RNA is filed under the name Sus scrofa (pig). RNAcentral's name for it is "lncRNA (ENSSSCG00035032344.1)". The record is from RNAcentral. Lineage: Eukaryota; Metazoa; Chordata; Mammalia; Artiodactyla; Suidae.